RNAcentral lists this small RNA (604 nucleotides) under Pan troglodytes (chimpanzee). Its description in RNAcentral is "processed transcript". Lineage: Eukaryota; Metazoa; Chordata; Mammalia; Primates; Hominidae. The record is from RNAcentral.
GAAAGUGAGCUUUCUAAGUUAUCUAUGGAGCCACUACUUCUCAUACUCAGAGGUGCAUCAUCAUUUUCACCACUAGACAUAUUUUUCUUUUGGAUGUUUUGUUCUAUUUUUCAGAUCUGACAAAGUUCCCAAAGAUGUCACUUGUGACCUCAUUGUAGGAUGUGAUGGAGCCUAUUCAACUGUCAGAUCUCACCUGAUGAAGAAACCUCGCUUUGAUUACAGUCAGCAGUACAUUCCUCAUGGGUACAUGGAGUUGACUAUUCCACCUAAGAAUGGAGAUUAUGCCAUGGAACCUAAUUAUCUGCAUAUUUGGCCUAGAAAUACCUUUAUGAUGAUUGCACUUCCUAACAUGAUUUCUUCCAGAAAUACUUUCCGGAUGCCAUCCCUCUAAUUGGAGAGAAACUCCUAGUGCAAGAUUUCUUCCUGUUGCCUGCCCAGCCCAUGAUAUCUGUAAAGUGCUCUUCAUUUCACUUGAAAUCUCACUGUGUACUGCUGGGAGAUGCAGCUCAUGCUAUAGUGCCGUUUUUUGGGCAAGGAAUGAAUGCGGGCUUUGAAGACUGCUUGGUGUUUGAUGAGUUAAUGGAUAAAUUCAGUAACGACCUUA